UCUGGUCAUCCGGUUGUUCCGCCAGGAGCAUUGCCGGGUAGCUACGUCUAGAACGGAUAACCGCUGAAAGCAUCUAAGCGGGAAGCCUCCUUCGAGACGAGAUCUCCCUGAGGACUUGAUCCUCCUGAAGUGCCGUUGAAGACGACGACGUUGAUAGGCUGGGUGUGUAAGCGCUGUGAGGCGCUGAGCUAACCAGUACUAAUUGCACGUGAGGCUUGACCAUAUAAUCAUGGGUUU
Molecule: ribosomal RNA, 237 nt
Filed under: Gammaproteobacteria bacterium
Lineage: Bacteria; Pseudomonadati; Pseudomonadota; Gammaproteobacteria
Description: partial 23S ribosomal RNA
Rfam family: Bacterial large subunit ribosomal RNA
Source: RNAcentral